CUCCCGUGGCAUACGGAGGUUCCCAGGCUAGGGGUUGAAUUGCAGCUGUAGCUGCUGGCCUACGCCAGAGCCACAGCAACGCGGGGUCCGAGCCGCGUCUGCAACCUACACCACAGCUCACGGCAACGCCGGAUCCUUAACCCACUGAGCAAGGGCAGGGACCAAACCUGCAACCUCAUGGUUCCUAGUCGGGUUCGUUAACCACUGCACCACGACGGCAACUCCAAUAGUUCUUUUGUUAGUCUUCUAAUUUUUAUUUUUGUUUUGGAACUAGGCAAACUGACACUAAAAUUUAUAUGGAAAUUUUACAUUUAAAAAAGACAGAAAAGAUUAGAGUGGUAACUAGCACUACUAAAUAUUUAAGCAUAUUUUAAGAUUAUAUUAAUUCACAGUUUGAUGCUGGUGCCUGAGUAGAUAAAUGAUAUAAAAUAUGAAGUCUAAAAUACAAUAAAACACAAAUAUUUGCUUAAUGGAUAACAAUGAUGGCACUGAAAACCAUUAAGAGAAAAUAAAUUUCAAUAAAUGCACUUUAUAUAACUGGAAAACAAUCCAGAUGAAAAACAACCACAAAACAUGAUAAAAGCGAAGUUGAUUCCAUAUCACUUCUUACUCCAGAAAAAAUUCCGGAUUUAGCAAAGAUUUACACACGACAACAAAUAAAAAUGCACAAAAAUUACUCCUUAGGAAAAGGUGUUUUAAACAGCAUCCAAAAUCCAGAGACUAAAAGAGACAAUAUUGAGGAAGAGAAUAAAUAUUAGCAAUCUGUGGAUGUCAGAAACUAUAAACAAAGUCACAGAUAAGCAGUACCUUGGGAUGUGUGAUAUAUUACAGAAACCUUAUUUUCUUAAUAAGGAAAGAACUUCAAAAUCAGUAAAAGAAAAAAAAAAAAAACAGUCAGAAAAGAAAAUGAGUGAACAAUGGACUACAGCAGAUAAAUACCUGGUAUUUAAACCUAUGGUCUACCAUUAAUUGCACUCAUAUGAAGAUAAAUGUUAAUUGAAAAUAAAACUUUUUUUCAGCAUUAAAAGGUUAAAAAUUAAAAAGUUCCUUUUGUGAAUUCCCUUCUGGCUCAGUAGGUUAAGGUUCCAGUGUUGUCACUGCAGCAGCUUGGGUCACUGCUGUGGUGCAGGUUUCAUCCCUGGCCUAGGAACUUCCAGAUGCCACGAGUAUGGCAAAAAAAAAUUCCUUUUGGUAAGGAUGUGUAGAAGUGGGAAUUGUAAGAUAUUUUGUGUGAAAACAUAAAUUCCUAUACCUUAACGGAAGGGUAAUUAUUCAGCACCUAAGUAAAUAGUGUUCAUAGCAUUGACCAUAAAUUUAUUUAGAACAUAUCCAAAGAUAUACUUGCCAAAAUGUGUUUUAUUUACUGCAACUUUAACUAUUGUACAAAAUAUCAGAAAGUGUCUAAACGUUCAUCAAAAAGAGGUGAAAUGAAUAAUUAUAUCGCAUCAUAAUUGCCUCUGAUUUAGUUUUCAAAGGUGGCAAAGGGAUUUUUUUUCACUAUAUUUUUCUAUUUUAUGUUUUACUAAGUGCAAAUAUUACCUUUUAAAACAUACAGACACACAGACACACAGACACACACACACACAAUGGGAGUAAUGAAAAAUGGAGAGUAAAAAGCAGAAAGUACAUAUAAUAAAGCCAAGAGUGAGAUUGACUCAGAAAAUGUAUGAGAAUUUAUUUUAUGCAGCCUAAAUAUUUGCAAAGGUGGGACCCAAAUGUCUUCAUUGUGAUAAUAAGGGCAUAGAUAGCCAUUUAACAAAUUGCUGACAAUAAGAUUAAGAAUAAAAACAAUUUGUAAAAGAAGCACAGCUAUCUGUGAUACCGAAACCUGUUGGAGUAAAUGAACAUUUAAUAAAGAUGUUAACUAUAUCCUAACACUUAACUAUAUCCUAACAUUAGAAAGCUACGUAAUUUACAAAAAGCUCUCUCUUUAUACAAUUUUCUUUAUCAUUCCAAAGCUUAUCUCAGGUUUUUAAAAAUGUACCUUACAGGAAACUAUUAUGAUGGAUUUCAGGUUUCCUGACUUUAUGCCUUAAUCCAGUAAUUCAACUGAAUGUGUAGAAGUUUGGAAGAACACGCAUGUUAUUUUUCUCCAGUGAGGAGUGGAGUGAUAUUCUACAUGAAAUACAGGAAUUCUAAGUUCUAGGAGAGCUGCACAAAUCAGCAAAAUCGGGGGCUAGGAGACUGACUGGUUUGUGAAAACCGAAGAGCCACUAGGACAUUCAUCUCAAUGAGAGGCAGUGCCAUCUUAUAUUUAUAUUGUGUAAGGUCUGUGCAGUUUAUCAAACCCUCUAAUAUAAACUGGCAUGUUAUUUUUGACUGGAGCAGCAACUCCUAGUAGCAAGGAAGUUAUUCUAUAAAUGAAGAAACUGAUUUUGGGUGAUUUGAUCACUGUCAAAGGAAUAGGUAAAUGACAGAGCCAGUUCUGAAUGAUACUAGGCCUCAUUUAUAUUGCACAUAUCUUAUAUACAUAAAUUUAUAAAAUAUAUACAUUUCCUCCCUAGUGCAUUUUUUUGCUAUUUUUUUCCUUAUUCAAAAUCUGAUUAAUUCUUUUAUGACUUCUAGGAAUCUUUUUGUUUGUUUUUUGUUGGAAUGGAAUUUUUGAUACAAAGAGAACAAUAGCUAGAGAUAUGGGGUCAAAGAGGAAUACACACCCACACCCACCCCUUACACACAGAUGCACAAACUUCUAAGAAGAGAUAUAUAUACGAUUGCUGUUGAAGGAAAAGGGAGAUUUGGGGGGGGGGGAUAAAAAAGGAGAAAAUGAUAUCUAGUGUGUAGACAUACCUGAGAACACAAAGCAAGAGAAAAGUCAGAGAAGAAACAGAAUGUUCAGCCUUUGAAGGAGACUUUUCUCACUCAUUAUAGGGGAGAAAAGAAGAUGGGUGGAGAGAACUUUUGCCAGUAGGUCCUUAAUCUGCAUUCUUUCAAGGUAAGUACCAAGCCAAUGUUCAGAUUAUACUGAAUCACAAGUUUUAUGACAAAUACACUUUAUUU
Molecule: long non-coding RNA, 2997 nt
Filed under: Sus scrofa (pig)
Lineage: Eukaryota; Metazoa; Chordata; Mammalia; Artiodactyla; Suidae
Description: lncRNA (ENSSSCG00060025621.1)
Source: RNAcentral